Molecule: small nucleolar RNA, 72 nt
Filed under: Triticum aestivum (bread wheat)
Lineage: Eukaryota; Viridiplantae; Streptophyta; Magnoliopsida; Poales; Poaceae
Also listed under: 1 other name
Description: Small nucleolar RNA R66
Rfam family: Small nucleolar RNA R66
About the family: snoR66 is a C/D box small nucleolar RNA, which acts as a methylation guide for 18S ribosomal RNA in plants. snoR66 has been alternatively named snoZ269 in rice.
Source: Rfam by way of RNAcentral
UCCAGUGAUGGCACAUCUUUGAGACCUGAGCUUACUUUGUUGAUGAACAUCAUAAGCAUAAUCCCUGAGCUC